CGUGAGGCAUGCUGGAGGUAUCAGAAGUGCGAAUGCUGACAUAAGUAACGAUAAAGCGGGUGAAAAGCCCGCUCGCCGGAAGACCAAGGGUUCCUGUCCAACGUUAAUCGGGGCAGGGUGAGUCGACCCCUAAGGCGAGGCCGAAAGGCGUAGUCGAUGGGAAACGGGUUAAUAUUCCCGUACUUGGUGUUACUGCGAAGGGGGGACGGAGAAGGCUAUGUUGGCCGGGCGACGGUUGUCCCGGUUUAAGCGUGUAGGUGUGUGUUCCAGGUAAAUCCGGUUCACUUUAACACUGAGGCGUGACGACGAGGCACUACGGUGCUGAAGCAACAAAUGCCCUGCUUCCAGGAAAAGCCUCUAAGCAUCAGGUAACAUCAAAUCGUACCCCAAACCGACACAGGUGGUCAGGUAGAGAAUACCAAGGCGCUUGAGAGAACUCGGGUGAAGGAACUAGGCAAAAUGGUGCCGUAACUUCGGGAGAAGGCACGCUGACACGUAGGUGAAGUGAUUUACUCAUGGAGCUGAAGUCAGUCGAAGAUACCAGCUGGCUGCAACUGUUUAUUAAAAACACAGCACUGUGCAAACACGAAAGUGGACGUAUACGGUGUGACGCCUGCCCGGUGCCGGAAGGUUAAUUGAUGGGGUCAGCGCAAGCGAAGCUCCUGAUCGAAGCCCCGGUAAACGGCGGCCGUAACUAUAACGGUCCUAAGGUAGCGAAAUUCCUUGUCGGGUAAGUUCCGACCUGCACGAAUGGCGUAAUGAUGGCCAGGCUGUCUCCACCCGAGACUCAGUGAAAUUGAACUCGCUGUGAAGAUGCAGUGUACCCGCGGCAAGACGGAAAGACCCCGUGAACCUUUACUAUAGCUUGACACUGAACAUUGAGCCUUGAUGUGUAGGAUAGGUGGGAGGCUUUGAAGUGUGGACGCCAGUCUGCAUGGAGCCGACCUUGAAAUACCACCCUUUAAUGUUUGAUGUUCUAACGUGGACCCGUUACCCGGGUUGCGGACAGUGUCUGGUGGGUAGUUUGACUGGGGCGGUCUCCUCCUAAAGAGUAACGGAGGAGCACGAAGGUUGGCUAAUCCUGGUCGGACAUCAGGAGGUUAGUGCAAUGGCAUAAGCCAGCUUGACUGCGAGCGUGACGGCGCGAGCAGGUGCGAAAGCAGGUCAUAGUGAUCCGGUGGUUCUGAAUGGAAGGGCCAUCGCUCAACGGAUAAAAGGUACUCCGGGGAUAACAGGCUGAUACCGCCCAAGAGUUCAUAUCGACGGCGGUGUUUGGCACCUCGAUGUCGGCUCAUCACAUCCUGGGGCUGAAGUAGGUCCCAAGGGUAUGGCUGUUCGCCAUUUAAAGUGGUACGCGAGCUGGGUUUAGAACGUCGUGAGACAGUUCGGUCCCUAUCUGCCGUGGGCGCUGGAGAACUGAGGGGGGCUGCUCCUAGUACGAGAGGACCGGAGUGGACGCAUCACUGGUGUUCGGGUUGUCAUGCCAAUGGCACUGCCCGGUAGCUAAAUGCGGAAGAGAUAAGUGCUGAAAGCAUCUAAGCACGAAACUUGCCCCGAGAUGAGUUCUCCCUGAGACUUAAAGUCUCCUGAAGGAACGUUGAAGACGACGACGUUGAU
Molecule: ribosomal RNA, 1617 nt
Filed under: Salmonella enterica subsp. enterica serovar Enteritidis
Lineage: Bacteria; Pseudomonadati; Pseudomonadota; Gammaproteobacteria; Enterobacterales; Enterobacteriaceae
Description: partial 23S ribosomal RNA
Rfam family: Bacterial large subunit ribosomal RNA
Source: RNAcentral